This 253-nucleotide ribosomal RNA is filed under the name uncultured bacterium. RNAcentral's name for it is "partial 16S ribosomal RNA". It matches the Rfam family "Bacterial small subunit ribosomal RNA", at positions 524 to 776 of the family's 1533-position model. The record is from RNAcentral.
UACGAAGGGGGCUAGCGUUGCUCGGAAUUACUGGGCGUAUAGGGCGCGUAGGCGGACAGUUAAGUCAGAGGUGAAAGCCCAGGGCUCAACCCUGGAAUUGCCUUUGAUACUGGCUGUCUUGAGUGCGGGAGAGGUGUGUGGAACUCCGAGUGUAGAGGUGAAAUUCGUAGAUAUUCGGAAGAACACCAGUGGCGAAGGCGACACACUGGCCCGUAACUGACGCUGAGGCGCGAAAGCGUGGGGAGCAAACAGG